CCGAUCUCUAAACAUGAAAUGUCCAAAUAUUCAAGUCUCUUAUACACACACAGUUCUUUUAACAGUUCCACAUUGUCGCCGUCCAUCGACGCCAUGUUGUCUCCAUAUGCCGUCGUCUAUCGCCUCCGUCGGUCACCGUCCAGACGGGACGAGUAACCUCCCGUCGCUGGAUCUACAUCGUUAUUGUUCUUGCACCAAAAAUAUUACUUCUUUCUUUUACUGUCUUCUGUCAACUCACUUCUCCUCUCUCUUCUCUUUUCUUCCCUUCUACUCCUCUGACUAAUCUCCUUAUUCAUCCUCUAUCCAUAACGAGGAAGUUUCUCACAGUAAUUUGACAAGGAA
This 342-nucleotide long non-coding RNA is filed under the name Androctonus crassicauda. Lineage: Eukaryota; Metazoa; Arthropoda; Arachnida; Scorpiones; Buthidae. The record is from RNAcentral.